This 125-nucleotide small nucleolar RNA is filed under the name Dasypus novemcinctus (nine-banded armadillo). RNAcentral's name for it is "Small nucleolar RNA SNORA32 (ENSDNOG00000045574.1)". It matches the Rfam family "Small nucleolar RNA SNORA32". From Rfam's summary of the family: ACA32 is a member of the H/ACA class of snoRNA that guide the sites of modification of uridines to pseudouridines. The record is from RNAcentral. Lineage: Eukaryota; Metazoa; Chordata; Mammalia; Cingulata; Dasypodidae.
UGAUCAUUACCAAGGCUUUUAGAAUGCAGUUUCUGAUUUGCUGUGGAGUUAACCAUAAAAACAACAACUCUGUGCUAGGCUUUCUUUUUGCUACCUUGCUGGCAUUCAGCCUAAUGGGAACAUUC